CCCUUAGAUGUCCUGGGCUGCACGCGCGCUACACUGGAAGUUACGGAUUGAGAUACUACCUUGUCCGAAAUGGUCCGGGUAAUCACCUAAAAGCUUGUCAUAAUUGGAAUGGAUUAUUGUAACUAGUAAUCCUGAACGAGGAAUUCCUAGUAAGUCCCAGUCAACAGCUGGUACUGAUUACGUCCCUGCCCUUUGUACACACCGCCCGUCGCUACUACUGAUUGGACGUUUAAGCAAGAUUUUUAAACACUGACAGUGUGUAGUUCACGCUAUACUACAGUGAGAAGAAGAAGAUCGAGCUUACUUGUCUAGAGGAAGCAAAAGUCGUAACA
RNAcentral lists this ribosomal RNA (332 nucleotides) under uncultured eukaryote. Its description in RNAcentral is "partial 18S ribosomal RNA". It matches the Rfam family "Eukaryotic small subunit ribosomal RNA", at positions 1470 to 1796 of the family's 1831-position model. The record is from RNAcentral.